This 615-nucleotide long non-coding RNA is filed under the name Homo sapiens (human). RNAcentral's name for it is "non-protein coding ATP11A-AS1:4". The record is from RNAcentral. Lineage: Eukaryota; Metazoa; Chordata; Mammalia; Primates; Hominidae.
GCUUUGGAGGCGAUGGGUCCACCUGUGAGUGGAGUACAGAACGUGGGGGAACAGCUUCCCAGGAGUCUGGGGCUCAACCUCUCCAGGAGGCCCUGAAGGUGGCCUGAGAAAGUUCUGCCUCUCGGGGGGGCAGCGUGGAGCACAGGAGCCGCAGUGAGUCCUGCCUGGCUCUAAGCACCACUUUCCAAGCAUGCAGCUUUGGCAGCAGGGACCGUGGCUCCAACUGCGGCUCAGGAUGAAGGCCCCAGGCGCUGAAGAGAGUGAAGCCGAACCCCUCCUCAAUCCCAAAACACUGGGGACCACGGUGAGACAGCGACGCCCUGGAUGCUGCCUGGUCAAGGUCAGGCUGUGAUCGGCCUGUCAGGCGUGUGGCAGAACCAGCUUCAGAGGCAGCGGUGUCCACGUAAUGAGCUCAAAUGAUGCCCCAGGAAGAACAUAGAUGGCUUCUUUCUUUAAUUCCUCAGCAUGUUUUUAAAUUUAAAUAACUCUACAUUGCAUUUUGGAAAAAGCGCUUCUAACAUAAGCCUGUUUGACUGCAGUUAAAUAAUUUAUGUGUCUCUUGGCCUGGGAAUCACUGUCUCCAUUAUUUUUUUUAUGUGACUCACUUUAUUGCUC